RNAcentral lists this ribosomal RNA (460 nucleotides) under uncultured bacterium. Its description in RNAcentral is "partial 16S ribosomal RNA". It matches the Rfam family "Bacterial small subunit ribosomal RNA", at positions 338 to 795 of the family's 1533-position model. The record is from RNAcentral.
CCUACGGGUGGCAGCAGUGAGGAAUAUUGGUCAAUGGACGCGAGCCUGAACCAGCCAUGCCGCGUGCAGGAUGACGGCCCUAUGAGUUGUAAACUGCUUUUGUACAGGAGUAAACUGAGACACGUGUGCCUUUUUGUAAGUACCUUAUGAAUAAGGAUCGGCUAACUCCGUGCCAGCAGCCGCGGUAAUACGGAGGAUCCGAGCGUUAUCCGGAUUUAUUGGGUUUAAAGGGUGCGUAGAUGGUUUGUUAAGUCAGUUGUGAAAGUUCGGGGCUCAACCGUGAAAUUGCCUUUGAUACUGUUAGCCUAGAGUAUAGUUGAGGUAGGCGGAAUGCAUGGUGUAGCGGUGAAAUGCUUAGAGAUCACGCAGAACACCGAUUGCGAAGGCAGCUUACCAAACUGCCUCUGACGUUGAGGCUCGAAAGCGUGGGUAGCAAACAGGAUUAGAUACCCUUGUAGUC